Notothenia coriiceps (black rockcod) is the source of this 1469-nucleotide RNA transcript. It is a transcript of the gene named intraflagellar transport protein 88 homolog, with no coding region annotated. The transcript is spliced from 4 exons. The record is from RefSeq and is a predicted model, not a curated record. NCBI's taxonomy places the organism in Eukaryota, Metazoa, Chordata, Actinopteri, Perciformes, Nototheniidae.
ACACACUGAAUCUGGCUGUGGAAAGCUGGCUCAUCAGCACAUUUCAAACGCAAUCCAGUCUGUCAGAGUUGCCAAAAACUGUAACAAGGCGCAGCUUUCUCCCUCCUCUCAGCUGAGUCCUGUAGUGAAGUUACAUUUAUAUCAUGCACCUGUUAUGUGCUCCACCCUGACACCCCCCCCCGUCCCCCCGUCCUGAUGAAUUAGAUCAGAAAACCUCAGAUGUGCGUGUUUGCUUUUGUUUCAUUCUGACGUCUUCUUUUACCAGACCCAGUCACAGUAACACUCCUUCAAUGUGAACCCUUGAAUACCAGCUGUAACGCUUUUUGACGUUGUUUAAUUAACCUCCAAACCCUUUCUAACUUUCUUACGACACACCAGAGACGGAUGUUAAAGCAGUCUCUCAGCCUGAGUCUCAACAAAGCAGUCCUCUGCUGGACUCGGGGAGAGACAGCGCCCACAGCAGCAGCACUAAAGGAGAGCGUCUGAGCGCCAAGAUGAGGUCACUUCCUGGAUCCAACGAGCCGUACGAGGCCAGCAGCCCAAAAGAAAUAGAUGCGUCCUACGUGGACCCUCUGGGGCCGCAGAUGGAGAGACCGAAGACGGGAGCCAAGAGACGCGUGGAGGACGACGACUUCGCAGACGAGGAGCUGGGAGACGACCUGCUGCCGGAGUAACUCCUUCUGACUCCACUGUGUUGUCAGGACAUUUGGUUCUUUGUCACCUUUUAUGAAAGGACAGAGCACAAACUAGACCCCAAGGACCAAAGCAUUUUAUACUCUGUGAAAUGAAUAUUAUUAGAUAAAGAUGUGACUCUGCUUUUCCACUUCUGAGUUAAGAAGUGAGAUGUCUUUACCUCUUUCAGAUCGCUCACCUCUGCCUUAAAUCUGCUUGAUAAACAUCCUUUUCUAACGUCAAUAUUUAUACAUAUUCAUUUGGCAGAGGAAGGUCUGGCUUUAUGAAAUGAAUGGAAAGGAGUCUGGAAAUAUUUUUGACAUUUAGUUUUGGCUCUGUACUCCAACAGAAUGAACUUGAGAUGUAAGAAACAAUCCCAAUGCAUUGAAAGUGUUGACGUUUGACUUCAGUCUGACUUUGUUUACAUUGGUUUCUGACGAAGUGUUUGGAAAUGAUGCACCUUUUGGACAUGCUGUACUCCCAGGGGUAAACAAGGUCUUUAUUUCAAGUCUGCAUUUUAACCUCAAUGUUACCUUUUUUUAUUUUAUUUUGAACCCAGUGUUUGGGCACAGAGCCAAAACAAGGAGUAACAUAUCGCUGUCGAAAUAUUUUCAACUACAAUGUGUGUUUCCAAGUGUGUGAGCCUGGGAACCUUCUGGAAAAUCCAUCAACAACUUAUGUAAUCCAUCCAUGUGUGGUCCUGUUUGGUUUUAUACUUAUUCCAAAAAUGUUUAUGUAGUAUAAUAUUUAUUUGUAUUUGUUGUUAUAUAAUUUUAAAAAUAAAGUAUUUUGUCUAU